GGCAGUGGUAGCUUAGUGUUUAGAAUGUUUGACUUCUGAUCACAAAGUUGUUAAUUCAAAUCCCAGCACUGCUA
This is a non-coding RNA of Ameiurus melas (black bullhead), 74 nucleotides long. The record is from the annotation of a GenBank genome assembly. NCBI's taxonomy places the organism in Eukaryota, Metazoa, Chordata, Actinopteri, Siluriformes, Ictaluridae.